Molecule: transfer RNA, 82 nt
Filed under: Thermoleophilia bacterium
Lineage: Bacteria; Bacillati; Actinomycetota; Thermoleophilia
Also listed under: 2 other names
Description: tRNA-Leu
Rfam family: tRNA
About the family: Transfer RNA (tRNA) molecules are approximately 80 nucleotides in length. Their secondary structure includes four short double-helical elements and three loops (D, anti-codon, and T loops).
Source: RNAcentral
GCGGGUGUGGCGGAACUGGUAGACGCGCCAGGUUUAGGUCCUGGUGGGGAAACCCGUGGAGGUUCGAGUCCUCUCACCCGCA